CGUCAAAUCAUCAUGCCCCUUAUGACCUGGGCUACACACGUGCUACAAUGGGUGGUACAACGGGCAGCGAAACCGCGAGGUGGAGCGAAUCCCUGAAAGCCACUCUCAGUUCGGAUUGCAGGCUGCAACUCGCCUGCAUGAAGCCGGAAUCGCUAGUAAUCGCGGAUCAGCAUGCCGCGGUGAAUACGUUCCCGGGCCUU
Molecule: ribosomal RNA, 200 nt
Filed under: uncultured organism
Description: partial small subunit ribosomal RNA
Rfam family: Bacterial small subunit ribosomal RNA
Source: RNAcentral